Long non-coding RNA from Frieseomelitta varia, 338 nucleotides. RefSeq lists it as uncharacterized. NCBI's taxonomy places the organism in Eukaryota, Metazoa, Arthropoda, Insecta, Hymenoptera, Apidae. The transcript is spliced from 2 exons. The record is from RefSeq and is a predicted model, not a curated record.
UAUAUAUAUAUAUAUAUAUAUAUAUAUAUAUAAAAUUAAUUGAUUCGUGUAUACGAGCGUUUAACGCUCACUGUCGAAAACAUUUGUUUUCCACGAGUCAGCCGAAUCGUAUUCGUACACCCCCCACCUCGCCAAAUUAGUCAGCGACGCGAACCUGUUGCGCUGGGGGUGGUUAGUCUAUUGUCAGAUAUCGCGGUGUUAAGAUGUAUCGCGCCGCAUGACGUUUAUUAACUGCGCGAUACUUUCGUCGUCAUCCUUUCACCGUUUGUGCCCACGCCAUCGUUAACUUCGUUUGAUGUGUAACUCCUUCGCUCUCGAGAGCUUUAAGAGCUCCGUGG